RNAcentral lists this transfer RNA (76 nucleotides) under Staphylococcus aureus. RNAcentral's name for it is "tRNA-Thr(tgt)". It matches the Rfam family "tRNA". Rfam says of the family: Transfer RNA (tRNA) molecules are approximately 80 nucleotides in length. Their secondary structure includes four short double-helical elements and three loops (D, anti-codon, and T loops). The record is from RNAcentral. Lineage: Bacteria; Bacillati; Bacillota; Bacilli; Caryophanales; Staphylococcaceae. RNAcentral also lists the same sequence under 2 other names.
GCCGGCCUAGCUUAAUUGGUAGAGCAACUGACUUGUAAUCAGUAGGUUGGGGGUUCAAGUCCUCUGGCCGGCACCA